GGAUUUUUGUACGACAUUGCACGCCAGUGUACUAGCAGGAGUACUAGUUAUAGUACUAGCACUCCUGCUACACUGUGAUCCACUCGGUGAAUUCGAUCGCAGCGUCGCCACAGUAUUUUUCCACAUCGGGCGCCUCACUGCUACGGUGGCUACCGUAUCACUGCAAAGCAUGCGCCGCCCCAGCUGCUCGUCCCACUCGACCGUAUUCUAGUACACUCUAGUCUGCCCACGGUGUCGUCGAGAGUGAUCGUCCCAGAAUACGUCCGGUUUUAUGACAUUUGUUGCCCAGUUGGCGGUGCUGUACCACAACGCAUCUGGAACAAAGCUUCUGCUGAUGUUUGUUGUGCCCAUGGAGAUCUAGCCUGACUCUGCAUCGUUGAUAACAACUAGCCGCAAGUGCUGAUUGCUGCUGGUCAGCUCAGUCCAGAAUUUGGCCUCACAAAUUACAAUGAGCCUUGGUGAAUGCAUCACUGUUGCCAAAGAGCCACGCCCCGCACCUUCCAAGGUCAUCAGUCAGGUCGAGGUUGGCCUGCAGUGCAGCUUGCCUCUGGCUGACAAGUCUGUCGGGUGCUCCUUGAAAGCAUGGAGCGUGUCGAGGAGCAUGCAGACUACGGAGGCUGUGGAUCAGUCAAGCUCCACCUUAGGUGGGCAUUGACCGGCAGUUCUCUUACUUUUGCUUGCUUGUGUGAGUUUCUGGUAAAUGAAGAUGUCUGCCUACCUUGGUGCGACCUGCUCAAGUGUGUGUGACAUUCUGCUGCCGAGGACAUAUUACCUGGGGGGGGGGGGGGUAUUUUGUAAGAGUCCGCCUAGCGGACUGUCCACUUCGCCUGUCACCAUUGGCUCAGGAGUCACGAGCGUGAACGAGACUGGCUGGCACCUUCACGCUCGUGAGGCCUGAGCCAAUGGCAACAGCCGAAGUGGACAGUCCACUAGGUGGCUUCUUACAGAAUAUUCCCCCCCUCCCUGGUUUGUGAUUCCUGUCCGCAUUUUGAUUGGGGCAAAAUCCAAAGAUACUGCUCAACUGAUCAUGUUGAAGCACCUUGGUGUUAGAGCUUAAUCAAGAGCCCUCCUGUCCUGGUGUUGUUGUAGCCCUUAAGUUGCUCUACGAUAAUUUUAAGCCCGGCGAGUCUCUUGGUUUUGCCUAAAUCGGUAUAUUAGUGUAAAAAUGUGAGUGUAGAUCAAUGUGGAAUGUAAGUUGAACUCUGUGCGUGAGGUGAAACAAAAUCGAUAGAACAAGUUAUUUAAAGAGAUACGGACACAAAAGUUGCCGGGUGAUUUUUUGCGUCGGAAGAAAAGUUGAACUGUUAAAAAUGACGAAUACAACAAGCUGCUUUGAAAAAAGAACAAGAAACAUCUUUUUGUUUUCGAUUUUCUGUUGCACCUUGCCUCCAAGCGGUCGCCGGGAGAAGCUGAAAUUUGACGGUCGGUGGGGGGGGGGGGGGUUAACACCCACCUGCGGCCAAGGUCGGCCACAGCUGUCACAGUGUUUCCAGGGGUGUCGGUCCCAUGCAGCGUUUGUUUAACCCCUUUCGGCAAUCUUCGCGCGUGGUCCGUCUUAAACCCUAUCCCCGUCGGCGCUCCACAUAGGUGGUGCGUCUUACAUGAGGCUUCCCACGGUUGUCGCUCGGUAUUGACGCGUUCAUCGCGGCAGAAGGAAAUGCCCAGACAUUGCUGUUAUAACAACAUCAUCGGUCGUGACACGCCGUCGCACACGUUUCCCAGAGAUGAGAAGGCACCGUAAACUUCGGAUACCUGCCUAUUAGAGAGCUUUAGCUUGUCCAGUAAUCGGGUAAACGCGGGCGUUGGGGCGUUCGGGCAGAACCGUAAACAUGAGUGGCCUGUAUGGUGCUGCCACCUGGUGGUGCAGAGCUCAGACAAAAAGAGCUAAUAUUGCAGUAACCCAUUGUAUUCUACUUCGCUGCUGGUGUAAAUCUUUGGCAGCAACACGAUUACGCCACUGCCGAAAAUUUACCACGAAAUGACCAAUAAUUCUUGCAUAAAGCCCAAACUGCAUGAGAGCGAUUUUGUGCGCGACCAGAUCGCUCGUUUCUGUAAAUCUAGAAUUCGUCGCUCGUCGCCCGGAAGUGCUGUGAGCGACUAGCCAAUAGCGCGAAGCCGGAAUUGGAUAUACAUCAGUCAAGUACUACCGAUUGUCGCACGGAACGAGCAAACGACUAGAUUUUGAUACGUGCAAGGAUAACAACAUAGUGCAAGACCUUUAGAAAUAUUUGUGCUGCUCUUUACACUAAAACACAUCAACUUAAGUUAAUAAAGCACGCGUCACGCCAGUUUCGGCGAGUAUUUGCUGCCCUCAUACCGGCAACACUGGGGAGACGUCGCUCAAAGUCCUCGCUCAUCUCGUCGCUCGCAUGCGGUACGGUACAACUUGUAGGCGAUGAGCGAACGCGACAGCCAUCUCCAUCGCGUUGCUUGUCGCUGCAUCGCGCCAAAUCACGUGCAUGUGGUUUAUAAUUGUCUGGUGCAGAGCGAAAUCUUCGCGCUACGGUUUGCAAAAACCUGACCAGCACUUCCAUGACCGCCUACUCUUCUUCGUCGCUUGACGUGGAAGGCCCGUAACCGUAAGCGGUAAUAUUUCUUGCCAAGUUGGAAUGGUCCCCGUCUUCAGAGGUGUACUCAUCACUGGUAGACACACCAGAACGCAAAUCCAUGCUCGCGAUGGCGGCGUCGGAGCGCUUCGAAUGACCGCAGCCGGCCGGCUGGCUAUCCGACGAGGAUGUCGUGACGUCACGCCUUCCAACUCCCGCAAGUCGGGUGGCAAGGCGCGCGCUCACAAAAACGCCAAAAAUAAAGCCAGCGGCUCAAAAAUGAGCUAAGUGACUACUUCUUUUCGGUGUAAUCACACAUUGAGGAUUCAUUUUCAGCAUUUUUGUAAAAUUUUCAGGUUUUGUGUCCGUACCCCUUUAAUGCAGAUACAGUAGAAUCUCGAUGAUACGAUCACGGCUAAUACGAAUUUCCGGAUGAUACGAAUUUUUCUGUGGUCCCGGCUGAGCCCCAUUACUUUGCAACGUGCUAGAGAACGGUUGUUACGAAUCGAUUUUCGACCCGCGUCGGUUGAUACGAAUAAACGCCGCCCCACCGACGGCCACGAAAAAGAACAGCGCGUAGUCACGCACUUUCUCCCUUUCUCUUUUGGUGUGGAGGCUCGGAUGCGGCGCCGGACAGCGUGGAGGCCGCGACUGGGCGCGAAGAGUUUGACGCUGACGCGGUGGCGCUUUUCUUGCUUUUGCACGUGGCCGCCCCGCCGCAGCGAACGAAGGUUCGCGCGGUCUGUCGCUUCAACAGAAACUGAGCGGCGUGAGCACAGCGCAUACAAAGGUCAGAGCCAUGUGGAGAUCGCUUUCAAGAUACGGUGCGCGCAACAACCCCGACAGCCGGCACAGGCGCAAAGUACAAGAACGCAUUUGUUGGCAGAAUAGAAGCCGCCCCCUCCCUCCAUCCCUCCCUCCUGCGUUGCCUUCCUGAUUUGCUCCUUUUGGUGGGAGAUUGCGUCGCCAGUUACCCUUGCGCCCGGUUGCAAGAUACGCAUUUGGUGCCCCUCAGCAC
Long non-coding RNA from Dermacentor silvarum, 3564 nucleotides. RefSeq lists it as uncharacterized. The transcript is spliced from 3 exons. The record is from RefSeq and is a predicted model, not a curated record. Lineage: Eukaryota; Metazoa; Arthropoda; Arachnida; Ixodida; Ixodidae.